AUUGAACGCUGGCGGCAGGCCUAACACAUGCAAGUCGGACGGUAGCACAGAGGAGCUUGCUCCUUGGGUGACGAGUGGCGGACGGGUGAGUAAUGUCUGGGGAUCUGCCCGAUAGAGGGGGAUAACCACUGGAAACGGUGGCUAGUACCGCAUAACGUCGCAAGACCAAAGAGGGGGACCUUCGGGCCUCUCACUAUCGGAUGAACCCAGAUGGGAUUAGCUAGUAGGCGGGGUAAUGGCCCACCUAGGCGACGAUCCCUAGCUGGUCUGAGAGGAUGGCCAGCCACACUGGAACUGAGACACGGUCCAGACUCCUACGGGAGGCAGCAGUGGGGAAUAUUGCACAAUGGGCGCAAGCCUGAUGCAGCCGUGCCGCGUGUAUGAAGAAGGCCUUCGGGUUGUAAAGUACUUUCAGCGGGGAGGAAGGCGGUGAGGUUAAUAACCUCGCCGAUUGACGUUACCCGCAGAAGAAGCACCGGCUAACUCCGUGCCAGCAGCCGCCGUAA
Molecule: ribosomal RNA, 506 nt
Filed under: uncultured bacterium
Lineage: Bacteria
Description: partial 16S ribosomal RNA
Rfam family: Bacterial small subunit ribosomal RNA
Source: RNAcentral